This 693-nucleotide ribosomal RNA is filed under the name uncultured methanogenic archaeon. RNAcentral's name for it is "bacterial SSU rRNA". It matches the Rfam family "Archaeal small subunit ribosomal RNA", at positions 88 to 783 of the family's 1478-position model. Lineage: Archaea; Methanobacteriati; Methanobacteriota. The record is from RNAcentral.
GCUCAGUAACACGUGGAUAACAUGCCCUGAAGUGGAGGAUAAUCUCGGGAAAUUGAGGAUAAUACUCCAUAGAUCAUAGGAUCUGGAAUGACUUAUGGUCGAAAGUUCCGGCGCUUCAGGAUUGGUCUGCGGCCUAUCAGGUCGUAGUGGGUGUAACGGACCCACUAGCCGACGACGGGUAUGGGCCUUGAGAGAGGGAGCCCAGAGAUGGAUUCUGAGACACGAAUCCAGGCCCUACGGGGCGCAGCAGUCGCGAAAACUUCACACUGGAGGCGACUCCGAUGAGGGAAUUCCUAGUGCUGUUACAUUAGUAGCAGCUUUUCUUAAGCGCAGAUAACUUAAGGAAUAAGGGCUGGGUAAGACGGGUGCCAGCCGCCGCGGUAAUACCCGCAGCCCAAGUGGUGGUCGAUUUUAUUGAGUCUAAAACGUUCGUAGCCGGUUUGGUAAAUCCUUGGGUAAAUCGAGAGGCUUAACCCUUCGAAUUCCGAGGAGACUGCCAAGCUUGGGACCGGGAGAGGCGAGAGGUACUUCUGGGGUAGGGGUAAAAUCCUGUAAUCCUGGAAGGACCACCGGUGGCGAAGGCGUCUCGCUAGAACGGAUCCGACGGUGAGGGACGAAGCCCUGGGUCGCAAACGGGAUUAGAUACCCCGGUAGUCCAGGGUGUAAACGCUGCAGACUUGGUGUUGGGGGCCC